This 445-nucleotide ribosomal RNA is filed under the name uncultured bacterium. RNAcentral describes it as "partial 16S ribosomal RNA". It matches the Rfam family "Bacterial small subunit ribosomal RNA", at positions 354 to 796 of the family's 1533-position model. The record is from RNAcentral.
GUGAGGAAUAUUGCGCAAUGGAGGCAACUCUGACGCAGCCAUGCCGCGUGCAGGAAGAAGGCGCUACGCGUUGUAAACUGCUUUUAACCGGGAAGAAACCCCAGGACGUGUCCUGGGUUGACGGUACCGGAGGAAUAAGCACCUGCUAACUUCGUGCCAGCAGCCGCGGUAAUACGAAGGGUGCAAGCGUUAUCCGGAUUCAUUGGGUUUAAAGGGUGCGUAGGCGGAGCGUUAAGUCAGUGGUGAAAUCCUGCAGCUUAACUGUAGACUUGCCAUUGAUACUGGCGCUCUUGAGUGCGCUUGAAGUGGGCGGAAUGUGCCGUGUAGCGGUGAAAUGCUUAGAUAUGGCACAGAACACCAAUUGCGAAGGCAGCUCACUAAGGCGAUACUGACGCUGAGGCACGAAAGCGUGGGGAUCGAACAGGAUUAGAAACCCCAGUAGUCC